RNAcentral lists this ribosomal RNA (363 nucleotides) under Asaccus tangestanensis. RNAcentral's name for it is "partial 12S ribosomal RNA". It matches the Rfam family "Bacterial small subunit ribosomal RNA", at positions 866 to 1391 of the family's 1533-position model. The record is from RNAcentral. Lineage: Eukaryota; Metazoa; Chordata; Lepidosauria; Squamata; Phyllodactylidae.
CAUCCGCCAGAGAAUUACACGAGAAAAUCUUAAAACUCAAAGGACUUGACGGUGGCCCACACCACCCUAGAGGAGCCUGUCCUAUAAUCGAUACUCCACGAUACACCCGACCACCCCUUACACCCACAAGCCUAUAUACCGCCGUCGCCAGCCUACUUAGUGAUAAAAUAAAAGCAGGCACAACAGUUAACCACUAACACGUCAGGUCAAGGUGUAGCUUACGGGGUGGACAGCGAUGGGCUACAUUUUCUACCCACCAGACCACACCGUAAGCUAUAUGAAACUUUAGCAGAAAGGUGGAUUUAGCAGUAAGAAUUGACAAGAUAUGUCUAACUGAAAUUUGCUCCAGGCCGCGUACACACC